Non-coding RNA from Paramisgurnus dabryanus, 555 nucleotides. NCBI's taxonomy places the organism in Eukaryota, Metazoa, Chordata, Actinopteri, Cypriniformes, Cobitidae. The record is from RefSeq and is a predicted model, not a curated record.
UAUAUAAGCCCCUCUGUUAACUUUUGUUCGAGCCUGUCUAGAUCUUUUAUCAGUCUAGAAAGAUGUUGGAGAAAAGACAUCAUCCUCUUCUAUAAUCUCCAUCUGUAAUUGGACUAACAACUGGACCAGUGAAUGCAGGUCACACCAUGGUCUCACGAGUGAAAAUGAGUGCUCUGGAUUGAACAGAAAAGGUGAAUCAAAACUCCAACCAUCUGUAUGAGGGUCUGGAAAAAGGAUGCCCCCUGGAGCUGGAAAUGAUGGAUCAGGUGGAUCCACACUUGAACCAUCUGUAUGAUGAUCUGCACCCACUGGAUCUGUAAAUGGUGGUGCAGGUUUCUGAAUUGAUGUCAGAUGCAAAGCAGAAGCUUAUUUUCUUCCAGUUUGGCUUCAUUGUGGAAAAAUGCUGGAAACUAAAAUGCAGAAUUCUGGCCUGGUGUUUGGUCCCCCCGUUCUCUGGCUUGUGUCUCCAUCAUCAUUACACUCUUGUCAGUGUAAUAGUAUCGUCGUCUGCGUACCAGGACUUUGUUACUCAGCUGUCCCUUCUCCUUCAAACUA